GACCGCGUAGCUCAGUUGGAAGAGCAUUGGGCUAGUAUUCCAAAGGUGAUAGGUUCGAAUCCCACCGUGGCCG
Molecule: transfer RNA, 73 nt
Filed under: Paramuricea clavata
Lineage: Eukaryota; Metazoa; Cnidaria; Anthozoa; Malacalcyonacea; Plexauridae
Rfam family: tRNA
About the family: Transfer RNA (tRNA) molecules are approximately 80 nucleotides in length.
Source: Rfam by way of RNAcentral